AGAUACGAAUCAUGGAAGAUGAUCCCGAGAUAUCUGCCAAGUCAGCUGUCAAGAGUGAGAACGAUACUACUCGAUAAUGCACUUGGACGGAACGUUAGACACUCCACAUGGAAUGAGUAUAGGAGUAAUGUCAAAUUGACAGACACUAUUCCAAUGAACCCUCGAAGUGAACUGUUUCACUGGAGACUAAACUAAAGUCGACAAUAUAUCCUGCAGUAUAUCUUGUCUCUAUAGUUAGAUGCCUGCCGCCCCACCC
This 256-nucleotide unclassified non-coding RNA is filed under the name Bombus terrestris (buff-tailed bumblebee). RNAcentral describes it as "misc RNA ENSBTSG00005024794.1". Lineage: Eukaryota; Metazoa; Arthropoda; Insecta; Hymenoptera; Apidae. The record is from RNAcentral.